This 1751-nucleotide long non-coding RNA is filed under the name Equus asinus (donkey). Its description in RNAcentral is "lncRNA (ENSEASG00005035339.1)". The record is from RNAcentral. Lineage: Eukaryota; Metazoa; Chordata; Mammalia; Perissodactyla; Equidae.
CGCAGUUGAGCGAAAACCCUCAUAGCUGAGCUUCAAGUGUGGAAUGGCUGCAGGGAACAGACUGGUUCGGCCAUGAGGGACAGAAGCAUUAGGAGGCACUCCUAACGAACUAUCCGCCUACUAGCCACAAAGCCUCCAGUCCUGCUUUCCUCACUUCUAGAGAUAAUCUUGGAGAGAGAGAAAGAUCCUGUCUCAAGGACCAGCCCAACGCUCAAGGUAGGACCAGAAGAUGCACCAUCAGAAGAUACAGCACGGACAGCUGAUGACACAGCUGCAGCUCAUGAAUUUUUACCAUGGAAGUUGCGGUAGGCAGAAUUCUAAGAUGCCCUCACCAACCCCCAACCCCUUCCUAGCCCCUGGUGUACAUGAGUCUUCUCCCAGAUAUUCAAUCAAACACCCAUCUAGGAACUGCUGUGGCGGCAUUUUGCAGAUGUUACCCACAUACACCCACAUUACAUUACACCCACAUGUAAUUAAGUUUCUAGAUCAGUUGGUAUCAAGAUAUUGAGAUUAUAUGGGGACAGUGAGGGGAGUGGGGCGCUAUCCAAUCACAGGAACCCUUUAAGAGCAGACAGUUGUCUCCAUCUGGUUACCGAAGAGGAAGUCAGAAAUUUGAAGUACAUGAAGGAUUUGAUGUGCCCUUGCUGGCUUGAAGACAGAGGGGUGUAUGUGGCAAGGGAUGUGGGUGAUAUCUAGAUGUGGAGGGCAGCUCUCAGCUAACAGCUAGCAAUGAAGCCAGGACCUCAGUCCCACAACCAAAAGGAAUUGAAUUCUGCCAAGAACAAGAAUAACUUCGGAAGUGAAUUUGCCCCAGAGCCUCCAGACAAGAACUUCACCCGGCCAGUACCUUGAUUUCAGCCUUCCCCGAGCAGAGAACCCAGUCAUGCUGCGCAAGAAUUCUGACACACAGAACGGUGAGCUAAUAAGCAAGUGUAGCUUUAAGCCACUAAGUUUGUGGCAGCUCAUUAUGUAUGCAGCAAUGGAAAACAGAGGGAACAAUGAAACAGGAGGGCUCAGUUCCUCCCCACCCACACAAAACUGCAGACUAUUCAUGGAGAAGUAGGCACCUGUGAAGAAGCAUUUCUCCCCAUGCCCGGAUCUUCACUGAAACAUGGACUGAAAGAUUUUAAGGGAAACAUCUACCAAUUGCAACAUAUGGACCUUAUAUGGAUCCCGAUUCAAACAAACAAAGAAAAAAUUAUGAGAUAAUUGGAAAAUUUGAACUCUGGUUGAAAAUUAACAAUAAUUUCUUAACAUAAAAUAUUCAAAGUAAAGAAGCCCACUUUCGCUGCAGUCUGAUUUCGAUGACUGAAACGGCAGCCAGGCCACGCCUCGCUGGGAGCUCCUCUGAGCGCCUCCUCCUCGCCACGCAGGAGCUGUUCCACGUGCAAGAGCCUUUCCCUCCGCUCCUGUCAUUCCUCUCAAGGCUUCUUGGCAGAAUUCCUACUGCUCUUAUUUAAUAUCAUCUCUCUUUACUAUUUCUGAACUCCAUUUCAUGCUUUUUCUAGUUAUUCCCAAUAAAGAAGAAACUGGAAAUUCACAUAUGCUGAGACUGAAAAUCUUGUUGCUGAAAGGGCAUACAGAAAUAGCCCGAGGAGUAGAGCUCUUCCCAAGAAAAGCUACUGGGGAAGGAUUUCUGCCUCGUUUUUCUUUAAAAUAAGGUCAUUUAACAUAAGUCUGAGGAAAGCAUAGUGAGCCACAUUUCAUUUUACUGUUAAUUGCACUUGAGCUGAGAAACAGAAGUAAUAAAA